GAUGAAGAACGCAGCGAAAUGCGAUAAGUAAUGUGAAUUGCAGAAUUCAGUGAAUCAUCGAAUCUUUGAACGCACAUUGCGCCCGCCAGUAUUCUGGCGGGCAUGCCUGUUCGAGCGUCAUUACAACCCUCAGGCCCCCGGGCCUGGCGUUGGGGAUCGGCGGAGCCCCCCGUGGGCACACGCCGUCCCCCAAAUGCAGUGGCGGUCCCGCCGCAGCUUCCAUCGCGUAGUAGCUAACACCUCGCGACUGGAGAGCGGCGCGGCCACGCCGUAAAACACCCAACUCUUCUGAAGUUGACCUCGAAUCAGGUAGGAAUACCUGCUGAACUUAAGCAUAUCAAUAAGCGGAGGA
This 352-nucleotide unclassified non-coding RNA is filed under the name soil metagenome. Its description in RNAcentral is "partial contains 5.8S ribosomal RNA, internal transcribed spacer 2, and large subunit ribosomal RNA". The stretch from base 1 to 120 matches the Rfam family "5.8S ribosomal RNA", at positions 35 to 154 of the family's 154-position model. The record is from RNAcentral.